UACAGAGGUCUCAAGCGUUGUUCGGAUUCAUUGGGCGUAAAGGGUGUGUAGGUGGCGCCGUAAGUCGGGUGUGAAAUUUCGGAGCUUAACUCCGAAACUGCAUUCGAUACUGCGGUGCUUGAGGACUGGAGAGGAGACUGGAAUUCAUGGUGUAGCAGCGAAAUGCGUAGAGAUCAUGAGGAAGACCAGUGGCGAAGGCGGGUCUCUGGACAGUUCCUGACACUGAGACACGAAGGCCAGGGGAGCAAACGGG
This 253-nucleotide ribosomal RNA is filed under the name uncultured bacterium. RNAcentral describes it as "partial 16S ribosomal RNA". It matches the Rfam family "Bacterial small subunit ribosomal RNA", at positions 524 to 776 of the family's 1533-position model. The record is from RNAcentral.